Oryctolagus cuniculus (rabbit) is the source of this 1875-nucleotide non-coding RNA. NCBI's taxonomy places the organism in Eukaryota, Metazoa, Chordata, Mammalia, Lagomorpha, Leporidae. The record is from RefSeq and is a predicted model, not a curated record.
AAGCAGUGACACCUGAGAAGUCUCUCCCCAGCAGCCUGAAAUGAUCUGACCCACUUGCGCCUAGAUCAGGGCCACCUCCCUACCACUCUCAACCGCGGGGUGCCAGCCGACAGAAAGGGGGCGACAGUUUUAGUAGAUCUCCCUGCUGAUGCUCCAGGUACCUCGCAGGGACUCCCGGGCCCCUGAAACUGGCUAGAAGGGUAGAGGGGAAUGGGAUUUGCUGCCGUCUGCUUGCUCUCCCUGUGAGUGAGGCUUGGAUGCCACCCAGGCACCCCAGGGGUCAAGAGAUCAAGCUGCUCAAUGGGGCUGUGGGGGAAGAGGUGAGGGAGGCACAGGCAAUUUUGCUGUUCGGUUUAACCUACACUGUGGCCCUGCAGGGUUUGCAGGUUUCUUUCUUUGUCUUUUUAAAUGUUUAUUGAUGUAUUUUCAUCUACUUGAAAGGCAGAGAGAGAGAAACCUUUCACAUACUAAUUCACUCCCCCAGUGCCCACGACAGCCAAGGCUGGGCCAGGCUGAGCUAGGAGCCUGGAACUCUCUCAGGGUCUUCCCAUACCGGUGGUAAGGACCCAAGGCCUUGAGCCAUCACGCGCUGCCUCCUUGGGUGUAUUAGCAGGAAUGCUGGAUAGGAAGUGUGGAAUAGCCAGGACUCGAACCAGGGCAUCUGAUACAGGAUAUAGGAUUGGACAUCUCAAGCAGAGGCUUAAGGCACCGUGCCCCAAUGCCUGCGCUCUCUCUCUGUCUUCCACUGACAGUUAAGUGCCUCGUAACCAGGACAGCUGGGCCCAUAUGAUGCUGGUGGUCCCGUAAGAUCAUAAUGGAGCUGGAAAAUUCUCAUCACCAUGGUAACCAUCUAACAGUGCGGCACAAACAUUACUCAGCUGUGUUUGGUGAGGUGGCUGCAAGCAGAGCUUCCGUGCUGCCAGUCCUGCAGAGUUACAGAGAGAAGAGGAGAGACACGAAGAAAGACAGAUCUUCCGUCCACCAGUUCCCUCCCCAAAUGGCCACACCUGUCAGGGCUGGGGCAAGCUGAAGCCAGGAGCCUGGGCUACAUCUGGCUCUCCCACAUGGGUGGGAGCAGUUGAAGCACUUGGGCCAUCUUCCAUUGCUUUCCUGGGCGCAUUAUCAGAGAGGUGGAUCCGAAGUGGAGAACCUGGGACUUGAAUCGCUGCUCACAUGGGAGGCUGAUGUCACAGGCAGUGGUCCGACUCCGCACUCCAGUGCCAGCCCUGGACUAGGAGCUUAGGAUGCUCUGCUGUCUUGGAACGCUGGAGAGCCAAACAGUAGGAAAGAGAUCUUUCGUGAAAGCAAGCAUGACCUUGGCUUUGCCCAGGAGCACCUCUCUCAGCUGUUGCUUGCUCUCAGCAUGGUUCCCCAAGGGGCCCUUUGUGUGAAGACAAUCUCUCUGCUUCCUGAACCUUUCCCAGCGUUUCCUGUUUGCUCCGGUGCAGCUUGACUGUGGAAUGAUUACAGUCCAACUUGUUCUUCAACGAAUUCACCUUCUGAUUUUCGCUGACGCUACAGUGCUGCGCUUUGCAAUCUGUGGUUUUAAGGGAGCGAGUGAUGCAAAACAAAGGAAAGCAGGCCAGACGUUUCCCUUCCUUUAAACAUUUAAUAGUGCACGUACUGAUUAUAUUCUGUACAGAUAUAAAGCAAGUUAUAAACCUCUUCCUUUAUUUAUUUUUUUCCAUUUAGACUGUAUUUAUGUAAAGUGUAUUUACAAUAGGGAGGGGGAAAAGCCUUGAGGUACAAAACCCAAAAGAAUAUCUGAGGUAUAAAUACAAGGAUAUUUUAAAUAAUAAUCUUUAUCAUGCUUUAUCUAUGUUUCAAAGCACAGUGGACAUGUGUACAUGUUUCUUAAUAGAAUGGUAUAUACAA